GGGUUGUGAGGUUAAGCGACUAAGCGUACACGGUGGAUGCCCUGGCAGUCAGAGGCGAUGAAGGACGUGCUAAUCUGCGAAAAGCGUCGGUAAGGUGAUAUGAACCGUUAUAGCCGGCGAUGUCCGAAUGGGGAAACCCAGUGCAAUUCGUUGCACUAUCGUUAACUGAAUACAUAGGUUAACGAGGCGAACCGGGGGAACUGAAACAUCUAAGUACCCCGAGGAAAAGAAAUCAACCGAGAUUCCCCCAGUAGCGGCGAGCGAACGGGGAGCAGCCCAGAGUCUGAAUCAGCUUGUGUGUUAGUGGAACGGUCUGGAAAGUCCGACGGUACAGGGUGAUAGUCCCGUACACCAAAAUGCACAGGCUGUGAACUCGAAGAGUAGGGCGGGACACGUGGUAUCCUGUCUGAAUAUGGGGGGACCAUCCUCCAAGGCUAAAUACUCCUGACUGACCGAUAGUGAACCAGUACCGUGAGGGAAAGGCGAAAAGAACCCCGGCGAGGGGAGUGAAAAAGAACCUGAAACCGUGUACGUACAAGCAGUGGGAGCACCUUCGGGUGUGACUGCGUACCUUUUGUAUAAUGGGUCAGCGACUUAUAUUCUGUAGCAAGGUUAACCGUAUAGGGGAGCCGCAGGGAAACCGAGUCUUAACUGGGCGUUAAGUUGCAGGGUAUAGACCCGAAACCCGGUGAUCUAGCCAUGGGCAGGUUGAAGGUUGGGUAACACUAACUGGAGGACCGAACCGACUAAUGUUGAAAAAUUAGCGGAUGACUUGUGGCUGGGGGUGAAAGGCCAAUCAAACCGGGAGAUAGCUGGUUCUCCCCGAAAGCUAUUUAGGUAGCGCCUCGUGAACUCAUCUUCGGGGGUAGAGCACUGUUUCGGCUAGGGGGUCAUCCCGACUUACCAACCCGAUGCAAACUACGAAUACCGAAGAAUGUUAUCACGGGAGACACACGGCGGGUGCUAACGUCCGUCGUGAAGAGGGAAACAACCCAGACCGCCAGCUAAGGUCCCAAAGUCAUGGUUAAGUGGGAAACGAUGUGGGAAGGCACAGACAGCCAGGAUGUUGGCUUAGAAGCAGCCAUCAUUUAAAGAAAGCGUAAUAGCUCACUGGUCGAGUCGGCCUGCGCGGAAGAUGUAACGGGGCUAAACCAUGCACCGAAGCUGCGGCAGCGACACUAUGUGUUGUUGGGUAGGGGAGCGUUCUGUAAGCCUGCGAAGGUGUGCUGUGAGGCAUGCUGGAGGUAUCAGAAGUGCGAAUGCUGACAUAAGUAACGAUAAAGCGGGUGAAAAGCCCGCUCGCCGGAAGACCAAGGGUUCCUGUCCAACGUUAAUCGGGGCAGGGUGAGUCGACCCCUAAGGCGAGGCCGAAAGGCGUAGUCGAUGGGAAACAGGUUAAUAUUCCUGUACUUGGUGUUACUGCGAAGGGGGGACGGAGAAGGCUAUGUUAGCCGGGCGACGGUUGUCCCGGUUUAAGCAUGUAGGCUGAUUGUCCAGGCAAAUCCGGAUAAUCAAGGCUGAGGUGUGAUGACGAGGCACUACGGUGCUGAAGUAACAAAUGCCCUGCUUCCAGGAAAAGCCUCUAAGCAUCAGGUAACAUCAAAUCGUACCCCAAACCGACACAGGUGGUCAGGUAGAGAAUACCAAGGCGCUUGAGAGAACUCGGGUGAAGGAACUAGGCAAAAUGGUGCCGUAACUUCGGGAGAAGGCACGCUGGUGUGUAGGUGAAGUCCCUGCGGAUGGAGCUGAGACCAGUCGAAGAUACCAGCUGGCUGCAACUGUUUAUUAAAAACACAGCACUGUGCAAACACGAAAGUGGACGUAUACGGUGUGACGCCUGCCCGGUGCCGGAAGGUUAAUUGAUGGGGUUAUCCGUAAGGAGAAGCUCUUGAUCGAAGCCCCGGUAAACGGCGGCCGUAACUAUAACGGUCCUAAGGUAGCGAAAUUCCUUGUCGGGUAAGUUCCGACCUGCACGAAUGGCGUAAUGAUGGCCAGGCUGUCUCCACCCGAGACUCAGUGAAAUUGAACUCGCUGUGAAGAUGCAGUGUACCCGCGGCAAGACGGAAAGACCCCGUGAACCUUUACUAUAGCUUGACACUGAACAUUGAGCCUUGAUGUGUAGGAUAGGUGGGAGGCUUUGAAGCGUGGACGCCAGUCUGCGUGGAGCCAACCUUGAAAUACCACCCUUUAAUGUUUGAUGUUCUAACGUUGGCCCCUGACCGGGGUUGCGGACAGUGUCUGGUGGGUAGUUUGACUGGGGCGGUCUCCUCCCAAAGCGUAACGGAGGAGCACGAAGGUUAGCUAAUCCUGGUCGGACAUCAGGAGGUUAGUGCAAUGGCAUAAGCUAGCUUGACUGCGAGCGUGACGGCGCGAGCAGGUGCGAAAGCAGGUCAUAGUGAUCCGGUGGUUCUGAAUGGAAGGGCCAUCGCUCAACGGAUAAAAGGUACUCCGGGGAUAACAGGCUGAUACCGCCCAAGAGUUCAUAUCGACGGCGGUGUUUGGCACCUCGAUGUCGGCUCAUCACAUCCUGGGGCUGAAGUAGGUCCCAAGGGUAUGGCUGUUCGCCAUUUAAAGUGGUACGCGAGCUGGGUUUAGAACGUCGUGAGACAGUUCGGUCCCUAUCUGCCGUGGGCGCUGGAGAAUUGAGGGGGGCUGCUCCUAGUACGAGAGGACCGGAGUGGACGCAUCACUGGUGUUCGGGUUGUCAUGCCAAUGGCACUGCCCGGUAGCUAAAUGCGGAAGAGAUAAGUGCUGAAAGCAUCUAAGCACGAAACUUGCCCCGAGAUGAGUUCUCCCUGAGACUUUAAGUCUCCUGAAGGAACGUUAAAGACGAUGACGUUGAUAGGCCGGGUGUGUAAGCGCAGCGAUGCGUUGAGCUAACCGGUACUAAUGAACCGUGAGGCUUAACCUUACAACGCCGAAG
RNAcentral lists this ribosomal RNA (2923 nucleotides) under Klebsiella pneumoniae. Its description in RNAcentral is "bacterial LSU rRNA". It matches the Rfam family "Bacterial large subunit ribosomal RNA". Lineage: Bacteria; Pseudomonadati; Pseudomonadota; Gammaproteobacteria; Enterobacterales; Enterobacteriaceae. The record is from RNAcentral.